ACCUUCAGCAAUCUGCCCACCUCGGCCUCCCAGAGUGCUAGGAUUACAGGCGUGAGCCACUGGGCCCGGCCUCACGUCCUCAACUCUUAACAAGCUUGUGCGAAAGGCCAGGAGGCGACGUUGUGCACACCAAUUUUUUCCUGAGAGGAGCUGAUCACUUUGUUUUAGCAUCUCCUGAAAGCGUAGCCGGUGACGGAGUGUUCCAAAUUAAUGGAAAUCAACGGCCUGGAUUUAAAUGCCAGUUCCACUAUUCAGUAUCCUGGGCGGUUUCGUAGCCCUGUGCCUGGGUUUCCUCACAUGGUAUGUAUGUAUGUAUACAUACAUACAUAUGGUAAUACCUGCGUACAGGCGUAUGAGGGUGAAUGAGAUAAUGCAUUGCAAAGUUCUGACAACAGAGCUUGGCACAUAAAGAUGCCAUGUAUGAGUAUUUUUCUUUCUUUGUCUUUCACGUGUAACUGAACAAGUUUGUUUGAGCACCCAGGCACUAUUCUAGGCUGUGGGCAGUGAACUAAACAAGUCCCUGCUUCUGAGACAAACAGUAAACAAACCAAUAUGGGACGAUUUUGAGUGUUGUGGAGAAAAACAGCACCGGGUGAGGAGGGGAGGGAGUGCAGAAGGUUGUUAUUCACAGUGGCCCUGCAGGGAGCAGCCCCCUGGAGAAGGUGAGGGCCUGUGAGCUUUGUGUGUGGAAGGGCAGAGGGAACAGCAGCACCCAGGCCCUGAGGCGGGAAUGUGCUGGCUCAGAGCGCCAAGGGAGAACAGGAGAUGAGGAGAAAGUGGGGGCCUGCAGACCAAAGUGAGGACUUUGGUUUUCACUCGAAAUGAGAUGGGAAGUGAUCUGCAGGGUUGUGAGCAGAGAAGGGAUGUGGGCUGACAUUUCAAAAGGAUCCCUGCAGCUGUGGUGUGAAGACCAGACUGCAGGGCUGGAGCGUGUCAGCAGGGAGAUCAGUCAGAAGGCUGUUGAAAUACUCCAGUCAAGAGAAGAUGGGGCUUGGUCCGGGGUGUUAGCAGUGGAGGAAUAAAGAAGCGGUCACUUCUAAACACAUUUAAAAGGCAGAGGUGACAGGAUUUUGCAGAUUUCGAUUUUUUUUUUCUCUCAAGCAACUGUAGGAUAUAAUUUGGUGACACAGGGAAGACAAACAGAAACAGAUGUGAAGGGAGGAACUUGGGGAUUCGUUUGGGGGCAUAUAAAGUUUGAGCUUCCUGGUGGACACCCAAGCUGGAAGUUGGACAGAGAGUUCUGUAGGUUCGGGAGAGAGAGCCAGGCUGGAGGCAGAGUUUUGGCAGUGCUCAGAGUAAAACCUCAGACUCAGUGAGAUCCUGUAGGGAGUCAGUGCUAAUAAAGAGGAAGGCCAAGGACCGAGCCCAAGUCCCCUAACGUUAAGAGGUGUGGGAAUGACAAGGAACCAGCAAAGGAUUCUGCCAGGGAGGAGCCAGUGUGUCAGGAAGAGACCCAAGAGAAUCAUCUACUGGAAGAGGAAGGACAGCUCUGAGGGAGGAGGAUGAGUCCUGCUGCCAGUGCAGCUGAUAGUUCAAGUACGAUUAGGAUUGGUGAUUGGUCUUUAGCCUUUGUAAGUGCAGAGGUGGGUGGGAAAGCCUGAUUGGAGCGGUUUCUAGAAAGAAUGAGACCUCGAAAGAUCUCUAGGAAAAAAUGAAGCUCUAGAAAGAAAGACCACUGGUGUGGACAACAUUUUCAUGAAGUUUUGUUUCUAACCAAGUAGCAGAGAAAUGGUAUGGUAGCUGGAGGGGAAUUUGGGGUGGAAGCACAUUUUCUGUGUUAUUUCAUUUUGUUUUGUUUUUUGGAUGGGAGCGCUUAUAGCACCUGCUUAAGUGCUGAUGGGAAGGAUUCAGGAGUGAGGGAAACUUUGACGAGGGGGAUGUUUUCUGGAGAGCUGUCCUGAGUAACGGAGAAGGGAAGGAUGCAGAGCACAGCACAGGGUCUGGCCUCGGAUAGAAGCAAGGUGACGUGCUCUCAUGGGACCAGGGCAGGUAGAAUGUGGGCAGAGAGGCAGGGAACCAGGUAGGUGAGGUCCCAGGGCCUUAUGGGCCAUCCCUUCCAAGUAAGGGCUUCUGUUUGCUCAGGAAAACAGGAAGAGCAGUCAUUCAUGUGCUUAGAGUUCAGAGUGCAGAGGGUGUUGGAAGCUUGGGGGAGAGAAGGCAUAAAGGACCAGUCGGCAGGAUUAUUCUGUGUUUUUCAGGGUUAUUCUGUGUUUUUCGGCAGCUACAUUUUGCUGGGAACGUGUAGGCGCAGGAAGAUGGGGAAUUAAACUCUACCAGAGUUAUUUUUGCUAGAUAAUUCUAUGGAGAGAAAGUGGAAAGGAAAGUGAAGGUAUUUAUAAAGAAGUCAUAAUAAUGGUGAACUGUUGAAUCCACGCCUGCCAAGGAUGAGUGAGGAGGGGUGGGGCAGUGGGAGGAGAGAGACCACAUAAAGCAAUAAAUGAGGAUCAGUGGAUUGUUGGAAUCACACAGUAGGGGGAGGGCACCGGAAAGGAGGAGGUGCCAGUUGGAGAGCCAGGUUGCUUGACACUGGGAUUAUGGAAGGAGUGGUUUUCGGGAAUGUCAAGGCCAGAGGCAUCUUUGUAAAUUGUAUUAUGCAUGUGCAUUUCUAGGGAUCUUGUUGAAAUGCAGAUAUUGGUUCCAGUGGUCCACCAUGAUUCUGCAUUUUUAACAAGCUAAGGGUAGGGGAGGGUGUUGUUUAAUUUUUUUUUUUUUCAGCAAUUGUCUUGCUAUAUUGCCCAGGGUAAGGUGCAGUGCCUACUCACAAGUGCAAUCAUAGCUCACUGCAGCCUUGAACUCCUGGGCUCAAGUGAGCCUUCUGCCUCAGCCUCUUGAGAAGCUGGAACUACAGGCCAUCAUGCCCAGCUUAUUCUUAUUAUUGGCAUGAUGCCAGAACCUCAACAAAUGCAACUCAAAAAAGGAAGACCGGAUGAAUCUUGUUGAUGAAUAUAGCCUGAAUUGGCAUCACCAAGAAUUAAAACCUGACUGCCCAGAUGUCUGUCAGGACUCUAGCUUGCCAGGGAUCCCUCUUUUAAGAUGCCUGACCUCCAGGAUGCUAAGAAACUCACCUCUCAACAGGCGGUUCGACUGGAUUUAUGGGAACAAUAACCAACCCUGAGGGACAGCUUAUUAGGGCCUGCAUCACCCCACUUAGGAGAACUGGUGAAUCUGCUGACCACUGAGGACCAUAUUUGGUCAGGAUCUCACAGUUUCUGAUGGAAGAUUCAUCUUCAUCCUUCCUCACAACUCCGGUGAGACUCUGGGAUGACUCCCUUGUUUACCUGCCUCUGUAAAACCCCAGGCCCUCUUCCUUUUCUUUGAGAUGUUCCUAAUGAAUGUUCUCCUAUCACACUAGCCUGAAUAAAAUCAUCUCUUUAACGAUCAGGUGAA
Molecule: non-coding RNA, 3387 nt
Organism: Microcebus murinus (gray mouse lemur)
Lineage: Eukaryota; Metazoa; Chordata; Mammalia; Primates; Cheirogaleidae
Source: RefSeq, a predicted model, not a curated record